UCCCUGGAGGACCAGUGGUUAGGCCACAGCGCUCUCACCGCUGCGGCCUGGUUCAAUUCCCAAGCCCAAAAA
RNAcentral lists this transfer RNA (72 nucleotides) under Pangasianodon hypophthalmus (striped catfish). RNAcentral describes it as "tRNA-Glu". Lineage: Eukaryota; Metazoa; Chordata; Actinopteri; Siluriformes; Pangasiidae. The record is from RNAcentral.